AGAGUUUGAUCAUGGCUCAGAGCGAACGCUGGCGGCAGGCCUAACACAUGCAAGUCGAGCGCCCCGCAAGGGGAGCGGCAGACGGGAGAGUAACACGUGGGAACGUGCCCUUCAGUUCGGAACAACCCAGGGAAACUUGGGCUAAUACCGGAUACGUCCGUAAGGAGAAAGAUUUAUCGCUGAAGGAUCGGCCCGCGUCUGAUUAGCUAGUUGGUGAGGUAACGGCUCACCAAGGCGACGAUCAGUAGCUGGUCUGAGAGGAUGAUCAGCCUCACUGGGACUGAGACACGGCCCAGACUCCUACGGGAGGCAGCAGUGGGGAAUAUUGGACAAUGGGCGCAAGCCUGAUCCAGCCAUGCCGCGUGGAUGAUGAAGGCCCUAGGGUUGUAAAGUCCUUUCGGCGGGGAAGAUAAUGACGGUACCCGCAGAAGAAGCCCCGGCUAACUUCGUGCCAGCAGCCGCGGUAAUACGAAGGGGGCUAGCGUUGCUCGGAAUCACUGGGCGUAAAGCGCACGUAGGCGGCUUUUUAAGUCAGGGGUGAAAUCCUGGAGCUCAACUCCAGAACUGCCCUUGAUACUGAGAAGCUUGAGUCCGGGAGAGGUGAGUGGAACUGCGAGUGUAGAGGUGAAAUUCGUAGAUAUUCGCAAGAACACCAGUGGCGAAGGCGGCUCACUGGCCCGGUACUGACGCUGAGAUGCGAAAGCGUGGGGAGCAAACAGGAUUAGAUACCCUGGUAGUCCACGCCUUAAACGAUGGAUGCUAGCCGUUGUCGGGUUUACUCGUCAGUGGCGCAGCUAACGCAUUAAGCAUCCCGCCUGGGGAGUACGGUCGCAAGAUUAAAACUCAAAGGAAUUGACGGGGCCCGCACAGCGGUGGAGCAUGUGUUCAUUCGAAGCAACGCGAGAACCUUUACCAGCUCUUGACAUGUUCCCGUAUGGAGUA
This 942-nucleotide ribosomal RNA is filed under the name uncultured bacterium. RNAcentral's name for it is "bacterial SSU rRNA". It matches the Rfam family "Bacterial small subunit ribosomal RNA", at positions 8 to 1002 of the family's 1533-position model. The record is from RNAcentral.